This 301-nucleotide ribosomal RNA is filed under the name uncultured bacterium. RNAcentral's name for it is "partial 16S ribosomal RNA". It matches the Rfam family "Bacterial small subunit ribosomal RNA", at positions 509 to 807 of the family's 1533-position model. The record is from RNAcentral.
CAGUCGCCGCGGUAAUACGUAUGGUGCAAGCGUUAAUCGGAAUUACUGGGCGUAAAGCAUGCGCAGGCGGUUCGCUAAGACAGAUGUGAAAUCCCCGGGCUUAACCUGGGAACUGCAUUUGUGACUGGCGGGCUAGAGUAUGGCAGAGGGGGGUAGAAUUCCACGUGUAGCAGUGAAAUGCGUAGAGAUGUGGAGGAAUACCGAUGGCGAAGGCAGCCCCCUGGGCCAAUACUGACGCUCAUGCACGAAAGCGUGGGGAGCAAACAGGAUUAGAUACCCCCGUAGUCCCUGUCUCUUAUAC